Small nuclear RNA from Callithrix jacchus (white-tufted-ear marmoset), 164 nucleotides. Its record names the gene U1. It matches the Rfam family "U1 spliceosomal RNA". From Rfam's summary of the family: U1 is a small nuclear RNA (snRNA) component of the spliceosome (involved in pre-mRNA splicing). Its 5' end forms complementary base pairs with the 5' splice junction, thus defining the 5' donor site of an intron. There are significant differences in sequence and secondary structure between metazoan and yeast U1 snRNAs, the latter being much longer (568 nucleotides as compared to 164 nucleotides in human). The record is from Ensembl. Lineage: Eukaryota; Metazoa; Chordata; Mammalia; Primates; Cebidae.
AUACUUAGCUGGCAGGGGAGAUACCAUGAUCCUGAAGGUGGUUUUCCCAGGGUGAGGCUUAUCCAUUGUACUCUGGAUAUACUGACCCCUGAGAUUUCCCCAAACGUGGGAAACUUGACUGCAUCAUUUGUGGUAGUGGGGGACUGCGUUCGUGCUUUUCCCUG